Molecule: long non-coding RNA, 1109 nt
Organism: Halichondria panicea
Lineage: Eukaryota; Metazoa; Porifera; Demospongiae; Suberitida; Halichondriidae
Exons: 3
Source: RefSeq, a predicted model, not a curated record
ACUGAAUGGUGUGAUAUUGAGCUGGCAAUAAUAAACAAAAAACACAUGAAACAACAGUGAGUUUUUCAAGAAGAUCUUCAAGGAUUUAAACUUGAUAGCACUCUUGCUAAUGAUAUGAUCUUAGCUCUUGGGUGCUGUAUUUUUGCUGGAGACUAAUUGUUACAUAGCCUGCCCUAAAUCGAUCCUCAACGGAGCACUGACUGCACUGAACUGUGAUGGGACCAGCUCUGCAACUGAGCAUUGAAGCAAUCAGGCUACCAUCACUACUUCUGCUGGCCUUAGCCUUUCGUUUUGUACUGACUAUCUUUACAACGCUGAAUGUACAAUGGAACUAUGAUGAUUUGCCCAUCCACCCUCCGGUACACGUGCACAUCGAGCUGGUUGACAUUGCCAUUGUUGGUAUUGGUUGCUUGUUGUUUGCUGUAAAUGGUGUAGCAACUAUUGACACUCUGCUCUGCUUGUGGGAUUACCUAGCAAAGAGGGACAAACGUCAAAAGAUUCGAGAUUGGGUAAUCUGGCGAAAUGGGUUCAUCUUUGCAGUUAUAGUUGGGUGUGCUCUUUCUGCUUUGAGGAUGUUUGUUUUCGUGAGAUCAAAGUGGACCAGUAACCUGUGCAUGGUCGUUCAAGUUCUCCACCUGUUCUCCACUCUGUCAGUGGUUUCCCAAGCUGUUUUGAAUGGAAUCUUGAUUUGCCUGACGCCAGUCCUAAAGGCUGAUCAGAUGUUAACCCAUCCCAGCUACAACAAAGCAGUUACAGCUCACAAAGAUUCAAAUAGAAUCAUCGUGGUUUAUGCUGCUCUUAAUGCAGCAACCUUUCUAUUAGCUGUCCCUGAGUCACAGAACUAUUUCAUUAUACCCAUUCCAUAUUGCAUGCUGCUGGAGUUGUCUUGUCGAUUUGUAUUGCUCCACCUAAUGGAAAUACCUGAAAAAAUUCUUCACCAAAUCUCAGGAUGCUUUAAUAUUCUCAUGGUUGUAAUAAAUCCACCUUUCAUUACUGUCAAUACUCUACGUGGUGGAGAGUCAGAGGAGCCAUUUCCUGAUAUUGAACUGGAAGACUGAUAUAGAUCUACCCUAUAUAUUAUGUUGUUGUUUUUCGUUUCGUGUAUAAUA